RNAcentral lists this ribosomal RNA (492 nucleotides) under uncultured bacterium. RNAcentral's name for it is "partial 16S ribosomal RNA". It matches the Rfam family "Bacterial small subunit ribosomal RNA", at positions 29 to 507 of the family's 1533-position model. The record is from RNAcentral.
AGUGAACGCUGGCGGUAGGCCUAACACAUGCGAGUCGAACGGCAGCACAGUAAGAGCUUGCUCUUACGGGUGGCGAGUGGCGGACGGGUGAGGAAUACAUCGGAAUCUACUUUUUCGUGGGGGAUAACGUAGGGAAACUUACGCUAAUACCGCAUACGACCUACGGGUGAAAGCAGGGGAUCUUCGGACCUUGCGCGAUUGAAUGAGCCGAUGUCGGAUUAGCUAGUUGGCGGGGUAAAGGCCCACCAAGGCGACGAUCCGUAGCUGGUCUGAGAGGAUGAUCAGCCACACUGGAACUGAGACACGGUCCAGACUCCUGCGGGAGGCAGCAGUGGGGAAUAUUGGACAAUGGGCGCAAGCCUGAUCCAGCCAUACCGCGUGGGUGAAGAAGGCCUUCGGGUUGUAAAGCCCUUUUGUUGGGAAAGAAAAGCAGCAGGUUAAUACCCCGCUGUUCUGACGGUACCCAAAGAAUAAGCACCGGCUAACUUCGUG